CUACGGGGUGCAGCAGUGAGGAAUAUUGCACAAUGGAGGAAACGCUGAUGCAGCAACGCCGCGUGGAGGAUGACGCAUUUCGGUGUGUAAACUCCUUUUAUGAGUCAAGAAAAUGACGGUAGCUCAUGAAUAAGCACCGGCUAACUCCGUGCCAGCAGCCGCGGUAAUACGGAGGGUGCAAGCGUUACUCGGAAUCACUGGGCGUAAAGGACGCGUAGGCGGGAUAUCAAGUCAGGUGUGAAAUCCUACAGCUUAAAUGUAGAACUGCACUUGAAACUGGUAACCUAGAGUAUGGGAGGGGGAGAUGGAAUUAGUGGUGUAGGGGUAAAAUCCGUAGAUAUCACUAGGAAUACCUAAAGCGAAGGCGAUCUCCUGGAACAUAACUGACGCUAAGGCGUGAAAGCGUGGGGAGCAAACAGGAUUAGAUACCCCUGUAGUC
Molecule: ribosomal RNA, 439 nt
Filed under: uncultured bacterium
Lineage: Bacteria
Description: partial 16S ribosomal RNA
Rfam family: Bacterial small subunit ribosomal RNA
Source: RNAcentral